GAUGAACGCUGGCGGCGUGCCUAAUACAUGCAAGUCGAGCGAACAGAUAAGGAGCUUGCUCCUUUGACGUUAGCGGCGGACGGGUGAGUAACACGUGGGUAACCUACCUAUAAGACUGGGAUAACUUCGGGAAACCGGAGCUAAUACCGGAUAAUAUUUCGAACCGCAUGGUUCGAUAGUGAAAGAUGGUUUUGCUAUCACUUAUAGAUGGACCCGCGCCGUAUUAGCUAGUUGGGAAGGUAACGGCUUACCAAGGCGACGAUACGUAGCCGACCUGAGAGGGUGAUCGGCCACACUGGAACUGAGACACGGUCCAGACUCCUACGGGAGGCAGCAGUAGGGAAUCUUCCGCAAUGGGCGAAAGCCUGACGGAGCAACGCCGCGUGAGUGAUGAAGGUCUUCGGAUCGUAAAACUCUGUUAUUAGGGAAGAACAUACGUGUAAGUAACUGUGCACGUCUUGACGGUACCUAAUCAGAAAGCCACGGCUAACUACGUG
Molecule: ribosomal RNA, 497 nt
Filed under: uncultured bacterium
Lineage: Bacteria
Description: partial 16S ribosomal RNA
Rfam family: Bacterial small subunit ribosomal RNA
Source: RNAcentral